This 1071-nucleotide long non-coding RNA is filed under the name Homo sapiens (human). Its description in RNAcentral is "HSALNT0294159". The record is from RNAcentral. Lineage: Eukaryota; Metazoa; Chordata; Mammalia; Primates; Hominidae.
GCCACCACGACCAGCCACAUUCCUAAGGCAUCCAAAGCCUCUGGGAUGUGUUCUGACUGUAAAAACUCUGAUGUUGUGAAAAAAGCUUACGCUUUGCCUCCACUCAAACCAGGUAACUGGCUUGGAUGUGAGUUAAUUUCUCUACACUUAGUCCUCUCGGUGUAAGUUUAGAAUAAUAGUGAUCUUCCCCUGAAAGGAAUGGUGUAGGCCUAUAUGAAAGGAUGUAAGUGAGAAUGCUCAAUAAACUGUGCAACCUUAAACAGAUAUUUGAUGUCACUCAAAAGAGCCUUAAAAUGAGGGAACUUCUAAGGCCCUCUCUCCACUGAUGUAUUUAUGACCCAAAUAACUCCAUUUACUCCCUUCUAUAAAUUCCCGUCUCUUGUUGCAAUUGUUGGGACAGAAAAUAAUCUGACUGUUCCCUAAAUUUAUUCACCUUAAGAAAAAAAUGCCUGAUAAGGCCAGGUGUGUUGGCUGAUGCCUGUAAUCCCAGCAAAGGCAGGCUGAUGGCCUGAGCUCAGGAGUUUGAGUUCAGCCUGGGCAAUGUGGUGAAACCCUGUCUCUACAAAAAACUACAAACAUUAGCAGGGCAUGGUGUUGCACGCCUGUAGUCCCAGCUACUUGGGAUGCUGAGGUGGGAGGAUCGCUUAAACCUGGGAGGCAGAGGUUGCAGUGAACAGAGAUCACGCCACUUCUCUCUAGCCCAGGCAACAGAAAGAGGCCCCAUCUCAGAAAAAAAAAGAAAAGAAAAGAAAAGAAAAGAAAAAAUGCCUUAUGAACAUAAAACCACCUUAGUUUGUUGAGAUUUUUUUAAGAGAGAAUUGUGAAUCUAAUUAUUCUGCAGCCUGUUGGGGACAAGUCCUUCUUUUGUCUACUCUGUUCAUCACUAUCCUAAGAAACACAAGAGUCAGAAAGGUGGUAUCCCAGAAACAAAAGCCUAUUCAUCUCGAUGUUAAGGCUCUGAUACAUAAAGGAUGGUAAUUUAAUUUCCUGAAAUUUGUUAGUCUGAAAGUUUAAUUAAGAGAAACCAAGACACUAAAAUAGUUUUGUAUCAAAUCUGUAGAAUAGUGGGAC